Molecule: long non-coding RNA, 1303 nt
Organism: Ailuropoda melanoleuca (giant panda)
Lineage: Eukaryota; Metazoa; Chordata; Mammalia; Carnivora; Ursidae
Exons: 4
Source: RefSeq, a predicted model, not a curated record
GAACUUGAACCCCCCUGCUGAGUCUCAGGGACUCCUGCCCCUCUCACUUGUUCCCAGCCCUUCAGCGAAGCCCUGGCGGCCCCUCAGUUUCUCCACCCACCUGGACGUCCACCUGCCUGUCUGUCCCCCGCUGCUCCCUGGUUCACCUGGCAGGUCCUCCCCCCACUCAAGCCCAGCAGCCCUCCUGCAGCGGCGUCACCUCUUCCUCUUUUCUGGGACUCGUCCCCACCUGCUGCUGCGACAGCCUUUCUCCAGAGCCCCAGACCCGCAGACCCAGCUGCCUCUUCCAAUUUCUUCCUCUUGCCACAGCCGUUUCUGUAAAUCAUCUGAGUCACACGUCGUGCCUGCCUGGGGAGCAGAGCGCCACGCGGGGCUCCCUUCCCCGUGGGGCAGCGUGGCUGCGGGAGGCUGGCUCCCGGACGCCGACGCGCACACGUGUGUACAUACAAACGACAACGUACAGUUGUCUGGUGGUUUCGCUGUGGCACAAAUGGAAUCAUGCAUAUUUCAUGGGCUGUCUGCAACCCGCUUCUCACAUGGAGCGCCGUGUCUCGGGGAGCUGGCGCUGGCACGCGCAGCCGGCCUUCUGUUCGGAUGGCGGCGGAGUUCUCCGUCCUGGGGCUGACGCUCCCGGGUCAUAAGCUCUUCUCUGCUGGUGAAGAAUAACUACUUCUGUUUGCUUGCCUUUUCAGUUCUUUGUUCCUAUUCCCAAGCAGCUGCAAUUCUUCUGGAUUCUUCCGUGCGCGUGGCAUUCGUCCAGGGAGCUGACCUGGGGGGCAGGGCUCAAGGUGGGGACCCAGAGUUUAUCUGCUUACGACUUAGAAAUCCACGUGCAAUUUGUCCCCCGGGCAGCCUGCUCCAGACGCUGGCAGUAGCCCCCCGCGUCCUCCCUGCUUGCAGAUGCACAGCCACGCUCCUCGACCAGUCUCCGCUGCUCCUUCUCGUGGGUGGGCUGGCUCUGCUCCGGCGCGUUGUCCUCCAGCCCGUCCCCGAAGAUGCUGCCAGGCUGCGGAGCUGACCACGCGGGGCUCUGCCCAUGGGUCUCUGGGGGCCCAACAGGAGAGGCUCACGCGCCCCGUGCCCAUUUUACAGAGGAGGAAACAGGUUCCAAGAGGGCGUUGGCUGAAAACCACACGGCUGGGAGGAGCUGUCGCUGCUGAAAGACGCAGGAAUGAAACGAUGCACCUCGAGAACGUUGUUCUUUGUCAAGAGCAGAAAGGACCCACUGGCCUGGCCUGGACCUGGCUGGGCCCCGCCGCUUCGGCAAAUGGCUUCGUGUUUUCAUGUGAAACAGGUUGUUGAU